CCACUGCCUCUCAGGCCCCCUCACCCCUGACCAAGACCUAGACCAGGGGGACAGGAGUACCCACUGCCUCUCAGGCCCCCUCACCCCUGACCAAGACCUAGACCAGGGGGACAGGAGUACCCACUGCCUCUCAGGCCCCCUCACCCCUGACCAAGACCUAGACCAGGGGGACAGGAGUACCCACUGCCUCUCAGGCCCCCUCACCCCUGACCAAGACCUAGACCAGGGGGACAGGAGUACCCACUGCCUCUCAGGCCCCCUCACCCCUGACCAAGACCUAGACCAGGGAAACAGGAGUACCCACUGUCUCUCUGGCCCCCUCACCCCUGACCAAAAUCUGGUCAGGGCUACCCUCUCUCUCUCCCUCUCUGACGAGCUCAGUAGUGAGGAAGCCAUAUGCCAGAGCACCAUCUCACAUUGUAAGUAGAGCAUCAAUGGGGUGCUAAAUCCUCUGUAAACUCAGCAAAACUUAAGUGUGGAAAUAUGUUUGUUUUUUCAUUCACAUUUGCUGUGCCAAGCAGUUGGAGGGGAUCAACGGUUUAGUUGUCUAGUGGAAAGAGGAAAUGGGCACAUUGUGGCAUUUAAUGCUUUGGUGGUGAGGUGGGGAGCCAAGCUGUAUCUUCAGCUCUGAAAUACGGCAACAUCUUUUCACUGUCAUUUCAGAUGGAGAGGAGGAUGAGGACAGUGUCCAUAGAUUUAGAAGGAGAUGUGAGGAGGAGAGAGAUGAAGAAGAGGAGGAAGAGUGUAAGGAGGAAGAGGAUCAGUAUGAUAUUCUACCAGCCCCCCGGAACUCUGAGUAUCACAUCAACCAAUCAGAUGAAGACUUGACUGAUGGAGAGGACCUCUAUGACUUCCCACUGUCCAAUAGCAGGGCAAGUGACCGCCAAGAUUAUAGCGAGAUGACAGAGAGCAUCUAUGACGUCCCCAGUUCCCUAAUGAGGAAAAUGUCUGAACACACACUUGAGCCUUACCCUGGAGGUGAGAUACUGGUGGAGGACAGGGGCCUCCUGGAUGACAUGAUGGCCGGUCUGGGUGGAGGGACGGUGGGCUGGAUAACAGAUGAAAUCUCGCGUCUUGUGACGGCCG
This 1086-nucleotide long non-coding RNA is filed under the name Salmo salar (Atlantic salmon). RNAcentral describes it as "lncRNA (ENSSSAG00000093745.1)". The record is from RNAcentral. Lineage: Eukaryota; Metazoa; Chordata; Actinopteri; Salmoniformes; Salmonidae.